AGCAAUCGAAGCAGUGAACUUAAGCCCCAGUAAACGGCGGCCGUAACUAUAACGGUCCUAAGGUAGCGAAAUUCCUUGUCGGGUAAGUUCCGACCCGCACGAAAGGCGUAACGAUUUGGGCACUGUCUCAACAACAGACUCGGUGAAAUUGUAAUUCCGGUGAAGAUGCCGGAUACCUGCGACAGGACGGAAAGACCCCAUGGAGCUUUACUGUAGCUUGACAUUGGGUCUUGGUACUACAUGUACAGGAUAGGUGGGAGGCUUUGAAACCAGGACGCCAGUUUUGGCGGAGCCAUCCUUGGGAUACCACCCUUGUAGUACUGGGACUCUAACCAUAGGCCAUGAAUCUGGUCUUGGGACACUGUCAGGUGGGCAGUUUGACUGGGGCGGUCGCCUCCCAAAAGGUAACGGAGGCGCUCAAAGGUUCUCUCAGUACGGUCGGAAAUCGUACGUAGAGUGUAAAGGCAAAAGAGAGCUUGAUUGCAAGACAUACAGGUCGAGCAAGGAUGAAAAUCGGACUUAGUGAUCCGGUGGUUCUGCGUGGAAGGGCCAUCGCUCAACGGAUAAAAGCUACCCUGGGGAUAACAGGCUUAUCUCCCCC
This 601-nucleotide ribosomal RNA is filed under the name Clostridioides difficile. Its description in RNAcentral is "partial 23S ribosomal RNA". It matches the Rfam family "Bacterial large subunit ribosomal RNA", at positions 1894 to 2493 of the family's 2925-position model. The record is from RNAcentral. Lineage: Bacteria; Bacillati; Bacillota; Clostridia; Peptostreptococcales; Peptostreptococcaceae.